Small nucleolar RNA from Magnolia sinica, 211 nucleotides. RefSeq annotates it as small nucleolar RNA U3. NCBI's taxonomy places the organism in Eukaryota, Viridiplantae, Streptophyta, Magnoliopsida, Magnoliales, Magnoliaceae. The transcript has a single exon. The record is from RefSeq and is a predicted model, not a curated record.
ACGGCUUUAUUUGAACAGGAUGUGUUCUAUAGGCUCUUACUUCUGUAUCCUUAAGUACUAAGGAGACAAGCAACUAAAUCUGGUGGAUGAAUGAGGACCAUAGGAUCAGAGCAUGAUUAACGGCUGAGGUCUCUUGAAUAUCAAGGCUAUAGAGGAUUGUUCUCAGCUUGUUACAACCAGCUGGGGUGGUCUUACGGUUGUCUGCUAGACU